AGGGGGCUGUGCCCGAAAGGGAACUGGAACACAGGUGCUGCAUGGCUGUCGUCAGCUCGUGUCGUGAGAUGUUGGGUUAAGUCCCGCAACGAGCGCAACCCUUGUCAUUAGUUGCUACAUUCAGUUGGGCACUCUAAUGAGACUGCCGGUGACAAACCGGAGGAAGGUGGGGAUGACGUCAAGUCCUCAUGGCCCUUAUGGGUAGGGCUUCACACGUAAUACAAUGGCGCGUACAGAGGGUUGCGAAGGGGCGACCUGGAGCCAAUCCCACAAAGCGCGUCGUAGUCCGGAUUGCAGUCUGCAACUCGACUGCAUGAAGUCGGAAUCGCUAGUAAUCGCGGAUCAGCAUGUCGCGGUGAAUACGUUCCCGGGUCUUGUACACACCGCCCGUCACACCAUGGGAGUGGGUUUCACCAGAAGCCGGUCGCCUAACCGCAAGGGGGCCGCUUACCACGGUGCGUUUCGUGACUGGGGUGAAGUCGUAACAAGGUAACCGUAA
RNAcentral lists this ribosomal RNA (499 nucleotides) under uncultured beta proteobacterium. RNAcentral describes it as "bacterial SSU rRNA". It matches the Rfam family "Bacterial small subunit ribosomal RNA", at positions 1006 to 1505 of the family's 1533-position model. The record is from RNAcentral. Lineage: Bacteria; Pseudomonadati; Pseudomonadota; Betaproteobacteria.